GUUGUUCGAGUCAAGAUGGGUUACAAACAUAUCAAAAUGCAGAUUUUUUUUUUCUUAGGUUCUAUUGGAUGUUGCCUAAAGAUCAUUGCGGGGUUGCCAACAUAAUUCUUAACACACCUACACUAACUUACUUUCUUUCAACUACCCCCUGCGCAACAUCUUGGUAUUUUUAGUAUUAGCCAAAUUAAGAAUGGCAGUAGCUAGUGGUUCACCAAACUUAUGUGUUUUGUCUUUGUUUUUGUCUUCUUUAGCCCGGACCACAUUCAAUUAUUU
Molecule: long non-coding RNA, 273 nt
Organism: Arabidopsis thaliana (thale cress)
Lineage: Eukaryota; Viridiplantae; Streptophyta; Magnoliopsida; Brassicales; Brassicaceae
Product: other RNA
Exons: 1
Source: RefSeq